This 72-nucleotide transfer RNA is filed under the name Dermacentor andersoni. Its description in RNAcentral is "transfer RNA glutamic acid (anticodon UUC)". It matches the Rfam family "tRNA". From Rfam's summary of the family: Transfer RNA (tRNA) molecules are approximately 80 nucleotides in length. Lineage: Eukaryota; Metazoa; Arthropoda; Arachnida; Ixodida; Ixodidae. The record is from RNAcentral.
ACCGGCGUGGUCUAGUGGCUAGGAUACCUGGGUUUCACCCAGGAGGCACGGGUUCGAUUCCCGGCGUCGGAA